AGGGGUCUGCGUUGUGCGUGUAGGUUGAAAGUGCCUCGAGCCCGAUUUGUUCUUAUAGGGGGCCGUCCCUGGUAAUCCAGUUGGGGUUGCUACAUGGCACCCACCUUGGCUUUAGUCUCAGGACACUAAGCAAAGUGUUACGGCAAAGGCGGAUCCCU
This 158-nucleotide non-coding RNA is filed under the name Anaplasma platys. Its description in RNAcentral is "6S RNA". It matches the Rfam family "6S / SsrS RNA". Rfam says of the family: E. coli 6S RNA was the first non coding RNA to be sequenced, but its function was unknown until recently. The record is from RNAcentral. Lineage: Bacteria; Pseudomonadati; Pseudomonadota; Alphaproteobacteria; Rickettsiales; Anaplasmataceae.